This 3076-nucleotide long non-coding RNA is filed under the name Oryza sativa Indica Group (long-grained rice). RNAcentral's name for it is "lncRNA OsMH63_05G007490". Lineage: Eukaryota; Viridiplantae; Streptophyta; Magnoliopsida; Poales; Poaceae. The record is from RNAcentral.
AACAGCAAAUGCAGGUUUCUUAGUCCGUCCGAUCUGCCACGUGACAGGAUCCAGUCCCUCUAUCUCCCUCUACCAGUUCUGCCCUGCCGUGUGGUUUCUUCUCCGUGGACUCCUCCUUCCUUUGCCCUCUCCCGAUCCCCUUUUGUGCAGCCGCUGCUCCUCUUCGGUUGCUCCACGGAGCCGUCGCCAACUGAGGGGAUGAUGGCCGGACGGCGAACUCACCGAGGCACGGCUCGAACUAAUCCGGAGGGGGUCAGGACUAUUUUGCGCCGCCGCGGAGGCGGCGGCGCUAGAGGCAGGUCGAGCGGAGGCGACAGCGUCGGGCGACGGGGUGGUGCAAACGGUGGGGGCCGCCCGGCUCGAGCGACAGUGGCGCCGAAGGCGGCGACGACGCCGGGUGACGAGGCAGCCCAAACGGCGGCGGCGCCAGAGGUGGGUCAAACGGAGGCGACGGCGCUGGGCGCCGCGGAGGCCCGAGUGGAGGGCGGCGACGACAAUGCGUGGCGGGCCUUCCUCCGCGCUGCCCCCCCCUCGCUGGCUGCCGGCUCCCGAAGCUCCGCCUUCACCGCUCUGUUCCUCCCCAGCUCCGCCGCUCUCCCUCCCCAUCUGCAGCUCGACGGCACCGGCGGCGGCUUGACGACGGCCGCUCCGUGCCCCUCCUCGCCAGAUCCGGCCUUAAGGUCGCCGGAUCUGGCCUUGGGAGGCGGUGGCGGCGGUGGCGGCUUGAAGGCGGCAGCAGCAGAUCGAAGGCUGCGGCAGCGGCUCGACUGCGGGAGCAGCAGCUCGAAGGCGGCGGCGGCGGCUCGACUGCAGGAACGGCUCGACGACAGCCAGCCCGCGCCCCCUCUACAGUGCAGUAGAGGUCCCAUCGAUCGGAUACUCUAUGAGUUCAACAUCAAAGUUUCUUAUAGGAUACUCUAUGAGUUCAACAUCAAAGUUUCUUAUAGGAUACUCUAUGAGUUCAACAUCAAAAUUAUUUAUAUUGACAUAGUAUCCUAUCAUAAUAUUAACAAUGUUGGACCAUACUUUUGGUGGGUGCUGCAUGCAGUUAUUAUUAUCAAAGCCAUGAAAGGUUCAAGGCUUCCAGCUGGUUGGCAAUUGCUCUUCAGGGUUUCUCUACCUGUUAACUGUUAUUGCCUGAUAUUAUUUCAGUUUUUUGGGUAGUUCCUUGGGAUGUCUUAUUUGUUGUUUAGUCGUUAUAUUCCUAUGCAUGAUCAUUAUUUAGUUGUUUUGAUAAAUGACCUUCCCUACUCUAUUUUUUAUCAUAUAAAUUAGUAUUCGGUUAAACUAUAGCAUAUAUUUUUUUGCAUGAGGCAAUAUUUGUAUUUAGCAGCAUCUCACUGACUACAUUCAUCCAUUUUCGUUUUCAGGCAUGGGCACAUGGCAGAUACCACAAUAUGAGGCAAACAUUGGACCUUAGCUAACAUAAAUGAAUAUGUGAUGCCACUUUCACUGAUGCUUCUAUGACCACUAGUCCGGGUAAUUUCAACUUUCUCAUGCUGUUAUAUGCUGAUGCUAUAUUACUUAGCAUGCUUUAGGAAAUUACAGACUAUUUCAUUCUGUUCAAAUUACAUGUUGUUAUUUGUAAUAGUGUGGGAUAUGCAUGCUCUUCAUUACUGUAUAUGGCAUGCUCUUCAUCAAGGUUAAACCGUGGAUCUAUUUUCCUUUUAUUAUUGGUGGCUAUAAAAUAGAUUGAUGCUAAUUAAUGGCAAGUUUGCGAAAAUACUGAACUCUCAUAUCUCCAGGAUUGGCUAUAAAAUCGUCAGUUCUGGGUCAUGGAACAGUAAACCUUAAUUUCUAUUUGUUUUUGCUAAUGGCCAAUCUGUAUAGAUUAAUUGUAAAACAUACACAAUAUGAGUUGCCACUGUGGUUAGGGUUGCGAUCUGCGGUUAGGGUUUGGGUAUGGAAUAGAGCAAGUGUGAUGGCCAAUGUGCAUGACAGAGUCAGCUCCACUAACCAAUGUCUCUAGAUAUGGUUCUACUCUGUGAUCUCCCCCAUCAUCUCCGUCAUGGAUUAGGUCUAAGCUUGAUUUAGGUGUGUGGCUGUCCAGCCAUCUGCGCUCCUCCAAUGGCAUGCUGCUGGAUAUGCAGCCAUCUCCAGCUUGGUUAUUCUCUGCUGAAAAAAAAUUAAUCCCUCCUAUCACAUCUAACAUUUGCUUCGACCCAUGACAAUUCUUGGUUUGGUAUGCCUUUUUUCACCAUCCUUUACUCUACAAUCCAUGAUUUGCAUUCAUUGUUUACAAGGUAAAUUUAUUGAAGAGUGGUCUGUUCUUUUGCGCUGCAGCAUUGUAUUGCUCAGAAGCUAUUUUCCAGUCAUCAAAAUCUCAUUUGGAUAAGCAGCUGUGUUCUGCUAUAUAUUUUUUUUGUCCACUGACUCUGUGAACAACCCCGCCAAUUAUACUAAAACCAAACAAAGGUACAUGAAGAACAAUCCGCCUGCAAAAUCAUUUCUAUCAAACACAUUCUUCACUUUUUAUUCAAGAGCUAAUAGACAAACCUUUCUAAGACGUAUCGUGUCUUGAUGCAUCUAUUUACAUGUGUCCUGACCGGUUUCUUUACUUCCAGAAAACAAUCCUUUGCAUAAUAAUAUUUGUACAGAUUCCAUUGGAAACUAUCCUUUUCAGAAAACACUACUUUUCAUUAGCCAUGUUAUUUCCCUUUUGUGGUACUUGCCGACCUGACAGUAAUAGAAGGAAAAACAGUUGUAGUUUCAUUAUUUCAAACUCAAUCGCACGUAUGCAGCUAUAUAUAUGGGCUAUAUAUAUGGGCUAUGGUUUAAGUAGGUGGACCUACUCUUGCUUCAAUCUUUCUUUGUGGUAUAGCAUUUGAGAAACAUUAGUUAUAAUGUUGCAUAAGUGUAGAAUUGAAGAACUGGUGUACCUUCCGGUUUCCUGAAACAUUACUGUUGCCUACGAAUUUUCAUGUGUCAUGCUUAAUAUUUGGUGUCCGUUUUUCUUUCUCAAUUUACAUAAUUCAAAUAGACCUUACCAUAUGCCAAUUUGAAAUACUUGGAUGUGAAUUAAAUUUAGAUCUCCUUUUUCCCCGGCACAACGCGUGGGGUGCUGACUAGUUAAACA